GCUCUCAUCCUUUAAGAGGAAAAUCAGUGAGCUACGGUUCAGGAAGUUGCGGUGAAGAGGUUCCUAGACCAAGAUAUUUCUGGUGAAUCACUUGUAGAAUUCAAAAAAGAGGUUGUGAAAAUGCAAGAGUACUUUUUUGGUAAAGCACAAUUUGGAAUGGAAGAUGGUUUGCAUGAUGGUUUUUGUUGUUAGAAUUGUUUGAAUGAUUGGAAGGUAUUAACUAUUGCUCAUAGUUAAUUUUCCAAUCAUCUAGGUAUUAUAAUGUAAAAAUGAUAGGUGCAUAUUUGUUAGGCAUAUAUAAAACUUUUUGU
Molecule: long non-coding RNA, 311 nt
Organism: Pistacia vera
Lineage: Eukaryota; Viridiplantae; Streptophyta; Magnoliopsida; Sapindales; Anacardiaceae
Exons: 3
Source: RefSeq, a predicted model, not a curated record